CCUACGGGAGGCUGCAGUGGGGAAUAUUGGACAAUGGGCGAAAGCCUGAUCCAGCCAUGCCGCGUGUGUGAAGAAGGCCUUCGGGUUGUAAAGCACUUUCAGUGGGGAAGAAAGCCUUGGGGCUAAUACCCUCGAGGAAGGACAUCACCCACAGAAGAAGCACCGGCUAACUCCGUGCCAGCAGCCGCGGUAAUACGGAGGGUGCGAGCGUUAAUCGGAAUUACUGGGCGUAAAGCGCGCGUAGGCGGUCUGAUAAGCCGGUUGUGAAAGCCCCGGGCUCAACCUGGGAACGGCAUCCGGAACUGUCAGGCUAGAGUGCAGGAGAGGAAGGUAGAAUUCCCGGUGUAGCGGUGAAAUGCGUAGAGAUCGGGAGGAAUACCAGUGGCGAAGGCGGCCUUCUGGACUGACACUGACGCUGAGGUGCGAAAGCGUGGGUAGCAAACAGGAUUAAUACCCCAGUAGUC
This 464-nucleotide ribosomal RNA is filed under the name Vreelandella stevensii. RNAcentral describes it as "partial 16S ribosomal RNA". It matches the Rfam family "Bacterial small subunit ribosomal RNA", at positions 338 to 795 of the family's 1533-position model. The record is from RNAcentral. Lineage: Bacteria; Pseudomonadati; Pseudomonadota; Gammaproteobacteria; Oceanospirillales; Halomonadaceae.